CAUUAAUUUGAUACGUUUUGAGUGUCAGCAGAUAAUGUCUAUCCGGAUAACACUUCAGACAUAUUAAUUUUUACACAAGUACAUGAACUACAAUUCGGUGCGUCUAUUCUACAGAGGAUAUACAUACUUUUUAAAUUGAUAUCAUGCAUUAUGUUAUGAUUUUAUCAACAAAAGGAAACUACAGGCAGUCUAAAGGCUUCACCAGGAUUAUAACACAGAAAGAAAAUAAUGAAACGGACCAAGAAAAUAUGUUUAAACCAGGCCACAAUAUUCUGUAUGUGUCUGUCCUAGGUAAAGAGCCUGUAAUUCAGUGUUUGUCAUUUGUUGCUGUAUAUUAUAUGUUUUGUACAUAAAUCAGGCCGCUUACUGUCUUGUUUAAAUUGUUUAAGAUUUAUUAUUUCGGGUUACAGCUGACAAUUCGGUUUUAGUUAUGCUUAUUGUCGAAAGCCGU
Molecule: long non-coding RNA, 451 nt
Filed under: Mytilus galloprovincialis (Mediterranean mussel)
Lineage: Eukaryota; Metazoa; Mollusca; Bivalvia; Mytilida; Mytilidae
Source: RNAcentral